This 2009-nucleotide ribosomal RNA is filed under the name marine metagenome. RNAcentral's name for it is "bacterial LSU rRNA". It matches the Rfam family "Bacterial large subunit ribosomal RNA", at positions 3 to 2025 of the family's 2925-position model. RNAcentral also lists the same sequence under 1 other name. The record is from RNAcentral.
UCAAGUGACUAAGCGUAUACGGUGGAUGCCUAGGCAGUCAGAGGCGAUGAAGGACGUUGUAGCCUGCGAAAAGCUUCGGGGAGUCGGCAAACAGACUUUGAUCCGGAGAUGUCCGAAUGGGGAAACCCACCUGGUGUAAGCCAGGUACCUUGCACUGAAUACAUAGGUGUAAGGAGCGAACGAGGGGAACUGAAACAUCUAAGUACCCUUAGGAAAAGAAAUCAAUUGAGAUUCCCCCAGUAGCGGCGAGCGACCGGGGAGUAGCCUGCAAGUGAUAGCAGUUGGGUUAGUGGAACGGUCUGGAAAGUCCGGCGAUAGAGGGUGAUAGCCCCGUACACGAAAACCUGAUUGUGAUACUAAGCUUGCGACAAGUAGGUCGGGACACGAGUUAUCUUGACUGAACAUGGGGGGACCAUCCUCCAAGGCUAAAUACUACUGACUGACCGAUAGUGAACCAGUACCGUGAGGGAAAGGCGAAAAGAACCCCGGAGAGGGGAGUGAAAUAGAACCUGAAACCGUAUACGUACAAGCAGUGGGAGCAGACUUGUUCUGUGACUGCGUACCUUUUGUAUAAUGGGUCAGCGACUUAUUGUCUGUAGCAAGCUUAACCGUUUAGGGGAGGCGUAGGGAAACCGAGUCUUAAUAGGGCGUCAUAGUUGCAGGCAAUAGACCCGAAACCGGGCGAUCUAGCCAUGGGCAGGUUGAAGGUUGAGUAACAUCAACUGGAGGACCGAACUCACGUAUGUUGAAAAAUGCGGAGAUGACCUGUGGCUCGGAGUGAAAGGCUAAUCAAGCCCGGAGAUAGCUGGUUCUCCUCGAAAUCUAUUUAGGUAGAGCGUCGUGUCUUACCCUGGGGGGUAGAGCACUGUUUCGGCUAGGGGGUCAUCCCGACUUACCAACCCGAUGCAAACUCCGAAUACCCAGGAGUACAAUCACGGCAGACAGACUGCGGGUGCUAACGUCCGUUGUCAAAAGGGAAACAACCCAGACCGCCAGCUAAGGUCCCUAAUACCAGUUAAGUGGGAAACGAUGUGGGAAGGCUUAGACAGCUAGGAGGUUGGCUUAGAAGCAGCCAUCCUUUAAAGAAAGCGUAAUAGCUCACUAGUCGAGUCGGCCUGCGCGGAAGAUAUAACGGGGCUAAAUUGGUAACCGAAGCUGCGGAUGCGUGCUUGCACGCAUGGUAGAGGAGCGUUCUGUAAGCCGUUGAAGGUGAACCGGGAGGUUUGCUGGAGGUAUCAGAAGUGCGAAUGCUGACAUGAGUAACGAUAAAGGGGGUGAAAAACCCCCUCGCCGGAAGAUCAAGGUUUCCUGUCCAACGCUAAUCGGGACAGGGUGAGUCGGCCCCUAAGGCGAGGCAGAAAUGCGUAGUCGAUGGGAAGCGGGUUAACAUUCCCGCACUUCUUAUUAUUGCGAUGGAGGGACGGAGUAGGCUAGGCCAUCAGGGCGUUGGUUGUCCCUGUUUAAGGUUGUAGGUCAGUAUCUUAGGUAAAUCCGGGAUACUCUCUUUAGUGAGGAGACUGAGAGCUGAUGACGAGUUCUGGCGAAAGCCAGAAUGAAGUGGUUGAUGCCAUGCUUCCAAGAAAAGCUUCUAAGCUUCAGGUAAUAAGGAACCGUACUGUAAACCGACACAGGUGAUCAGGUAGAGAAUACCAAGGCGCUUGAGAGAACUCGGGUGAAGGAACUAGGCAAAAUGGUACCGUAACUUCGGGAGAAGGUACGCCGGCUUUGGUGAUGGGACUUGCUCCCUAAGCUGAGGCUGGUCGAAGUGACCAGGUGGCUGCGACUGUUUAUUAAAAACAUAGCACUCUGCAAACACGUAAGUGGACGUAUAGGGUGUGACGCCUGCCCGGUGCCGGAAGGUUAAUUGAUGGGGUUAGCUUCGGCGAAGCUCUUGAUCGAAGCCCCGGUAAACGGCGGCCGUAACUAUAACGGUCCUAAGGUAGCGAAAUUCCUUGUCGGGUAAGUUCCGACCUGCACGAAUGGCGUAACGAUGGCCACACUGUCUCCAC